Small nucleolar RNA from Cucurbita pepo subsp. pepo (vegetable marrow), 106 nucleotides. Lineage: Eukaryota; Viridiplantae; Streptophyta; Magnoliopsida; Cucurbitales; Cucurbitaceae. The record is from RefSeq and is a predicted model, not a curated record.
AAUCCAUGGCGAUGACACUUCCUAAGAAUCUCCUUGAAUCUCUCCAAAGCUUCGCUUAGUAUUUCAUCUUCAAACUGUUGAAAAGAAACAAUCUCAUUUCUGAACC